AUGCAAGUCGAACGAGAAUCUACUGAAAGAGUUUUCGGACAAUGGAUGUAGAGGAAAGUGGCGGACGGGUGAGUAACGCGUGAGGAACCUGCCUUGAAGAGGGGGACAACAGUUGGAAACGACUGCUAAUACCGCAUAACGCAUAGGGGUCGCAUGAUCUUUAUGCCAAAGAUUUAUUGCUUCAAGAUGGCCUCGCGUCUGAUUAGCUAGUUGGCAGGGUAACGGCCCACCAAGGCGACGAUCAGUAGCCGGACUGAGAGGUUGAACGGCCACAUUGGGACUGAGAUACGGCCCAGACUCCUACGGGAGGCAGCAGUGGGGAAUAUUGGGCAAUGGGCGCAAGCCUGACCCAGCAACGCCGCGUGAAGGAAGAAGGCUUUCGGGUUGUAAACUUCUUUUAAGAGGGAAGAGUAGAAGACGGUACCUCUAGAAUAAGCCACGGCUAACUACGUGCCAGCAGCCGCGGUAAUACGUAGGUGGCAAGCGUUGUCCGGAUUUACUGGGUGUAAAGGGCGUGCAGCCGGGUCUGCAAGUCAGAUGUGAAAUCCAUGGGCUCAACCCAUGAACUGCAUUUGAAACUGUAGAUCUUGAGUGUCGGAGGGGCAAUCGGAAUUCCUAGUGUAGCGGUGAAAUGCGUAGAUAUUAGGAGGAACACCAGUGGCGAAGGCGGAUUGCUGGACGAUAACUGACGGUGAGGCGCGAAAGUGUGGGGAGCAAACAGGAUUAGAUACCCUGGUAGUCCACACUGUAAACGAUGAAUACUAGGUGUGCGGGGACUGACCCCCUGCGUGCCGCAGUAAACACAAUAAGUAUUCCACCUGGGGAGUACGAUCGCAAGGUUGAAACUCAAAGGAAUUGACGGGGGCCCGCACAAGCGGUGGAUUAUGUGGUUUAAUU
RNAcentral lists this ribosomal RNA (897 nucleotides) under uncultured bacterium. RNAcentral describes it as "bacterial SSU rRNA". It matches the Rfam family "Bacterial small subunit ribosomal RNA", at positions 55 to 951 of the family's 1533-position model. The record is from RNAcentral.